This 190-nucleotide ribosomal RNA is filed under the name uncultured bacterium. RNAcentral describes it as "partial 16S ribosomal RNA". It matches the Rfam family "Bacterial small subunit ribosomal RNA", at positions 349 to 530 of the family's 1533-position model. The record is from RNAcentral.
GUGGGGCGAAAUAUUUUGCACAAUCGGGCGCAAGCCUGAUGCAGCCAUGCCGCGUGUAUGAAGAAGGGCCCCGGGUUGUAAAGUACUUUCUUUGGGAGGAAAGUGUUGUGCUUAAUAACCACAUCACUUGACGUUCCCCGCAAAAAAAGCACCGGCUACCUCCGCGCCACCCGCCGCGAAAAAUAUAAAA